RNAcentral lists this unclassified non-coding RNA (364 nucleotides) under uncultured bacterium. RNAcentral describes it as "contains 16S-23S intergenic spacer region". The record is from RNAcentral.
UCCCUGUUACCAGGGCAGUCUGACUAGAAAAAUUCAACUAGUCAUAAGGGUUGCGCUCGUUGCGGGACUUAACCCAACAUCUCACGACACGAGCUGACGACGGCCAUGCAUCACCUGUCACCGCGUUCCAAAUGGCACAAACACCUUUCGGUGUUCUUCGCGGGAUGUCAAACCUUGGUAAGGUUCUCGGCUUAGCAUCCAAUUAAACAACACGCUCCACCGCUUGUGCGGGUCCCCGUCAAUUCCUUUGAGUUUUAGUCUUGCGACCGUACUCCCCAGGCGGGAUGCUUAACGCGUUAGCUUCGCUUCUGGACGGGUCGAUACGCCCAAAUAGCUAGCAUCCAUCGUUUACAGCGUGGACUAC